This 465-nucleotide ribosomal RNA is filed under the name uncultured Streptococcus sp. Its description in RNAcentral is "bacterial SSU rRNA". It matches the Rfam family "Bacterial small subunit ribosomal RNA", at positions 338 to 795 of the family's 1533-position model. Lineage: Bacteria; Bacillati; Bacillota; Bacilli; Lactobacillales; Streptococcaceae. The record is from RNAcentral.
CCUACGGGUCGCAGCAGUAGGGAAUCUUCGGCAAUGGACGGAAGUCUGACCGAGCAACGCCGCGUGAGUGAAGAAGGUUUUCGGAUCGUAAAGCUCUGUUGUAAGAGAAGAACGAGUGUGAGAGUGGAAAGUUCACACUGUGACGGUAUCUUACCAGAAAGGGACGGCUAACUACGUGCCAGCAGCCGCGGUAAUACGUAGGUCCCGAGCGUUGUCCGGAUUUAUUGGGCGUAAAGCGAGCGCAGGCGGUUAGAUAAGUCUGAAGUUAAAGGCUGUGGCUUAACCAUAGUACGCUUUGGAAACUGUUUAACUUGAGUGCAAGAGGGGAGAGUGGAAUUCCAUGUGUAGCGGUGAAAUGCGUAGAUAUAUGGAGGAACACCGGUGGCGAAAGCGGCUCUCUGGCUUGUAACUGACGCUGAGGCUCGAAAGCGUGGGGAGCAAACAGGAUUAGAUACCCCAGUAGUC